AUGUUGGCUGUCGAGUUGGCUGGCAGGACUUGGAUGAGGAGGACAUGGAGGCUGACAAACUUCAAGAAAGAGAAGUGUGAUCAGUGAAGCGCCUCCUCACAUCUGUGACUGUGACCCGGUCUGACCUCUCUUUAUACAGAGGGAUGAGGCCCCCUGCUGGUUCACAGGUCAACUACAAGUGCACAAGUCUGAAUCCCCAUCUUCAUCUUCCGGUAUAAAUGGAGGGUCUUCAGGCGGCUUCCGCGCUGUUCCUCCGUCUGUCCCCGUCUUGAGAUGCAGCUCUCUGACGGUGAGGAUGCGGGUCAGCAUGGCCUCCAUGGUGCUGUCGUCCAGAGGGGUGGAGGAGAACCACAGCGGGCUGUUGGGGACACAGCAGCGCUCAGGGUGAAGGUAGAACAGAAUAGGUUGAGACAGAUCUGUGUCCCUCACUCACCACUUGGAGAGGUAGAACUCGUAGAGUCGGACCGGACAGCGGAGCGGGUUCUCCGUGUUCUCCAUCAUCUCCAGGAUGUCCUCUUUACUGUCCUCCUCCUUACGUCUCUUCGCAGGAACCUCAGGAUCUGAAGAUCGUUAUUUGACCAUCAAAUCGUAUACAGAGAUCGAGUGAUGAAUUUAUGUUGUUAGUUGAUAGUUUUAUAAUUUUGUCUGCAGUGUGUUUUAAAUGUUUAGGUUCAGUCUCAUUAAAUCCAUGUUAGAAAACGAAAUUUAAGUUUCAUGAUCAUUUUGUUGCUUCUCAGUUGACAGUCAGGAACUGUGAAUGACCUUUUGCUUGACUUCCAUAAAAACACAAAAUAU
Long non-coding RNA from Acanthopagrus latus (yellowfin seabream), 795 nucleotides. RefSeq lists it as uncharacterized. NCBI's taxonomy places the organism in Eukaryota, Metazoa, Chordata, Actinopteri, Spariformes, Sparidae. The record is from RefSeq and is a predicted model, not a curated record. The transcript has 4 exons.